UGUGCCUGGCUUUUGUUGUUCUUCUGCUUCUAAUCAUGAUCGCCUCCUCAUUCCUCGGAAAAUUGCAAGCUCAACAUGGUCGGCUUCCACCAGGUCCUAUGCCUCUCCCAGUUUUAGGAUCACUUCUUUCUCUCAGGAAUCCACUGCAUCGUCACUUUGCAAGCCUCACAAAGAUCUAUGGACCCAUAAUCCACAUCAAGCUCGGGCUUGUGUCUUGCAUAGUUGUGAACAGCUCUGACAUGGCCAGGGAGGUCCUGAGAGCUCAUGAUGUGGAGUUUGCUUACAGGCCUCUUUCAAAAUUUGGAGAGUACUUCAGCUUCAGAUGGAAAGAUGUUGUGCUUGCUCCUUACGGAGAGUCCUGGAAGAACAUGAAGAUGAUCACGGCUCAACACUUGCUGAGUCCCAGCAGGCUGGAUGCUGCUGCUGCUUACCAAGAAUCUGAAAUGGCGCUCGUGGUCAAAGAUGUUGGACGUCUUGCCACCGCCUCCAAAGUCAUCAAUCUCAAACAUUUCAUUGAUAAGUUUGUCUCUGGUGCGUUUUGCCAAGUUCAUACGGCCACUUGAUUGUCUUGAUCUCCAUGGAGUGAACCGGAGAAUGAGGGAUGAUCUGAUGCCAAAGUUGGAGUCUCUUCUUGCUGAUAUUAUCCAAGAACACAAACAGUACAAACUCGACAUUGAAUCCUCGGGCCAGGAAUUCAUUCCCAAGGACUGGACGGUGCUUCUGUCUCUCCAAGACGCUGCUGAUAAUAAUCUCUCAGAUAUAUCAAUUAUGGCCCUCCUCACUGUAAGUAUCCGCAAAGUUCUUCAUGGCUAUGUCGGAUGUUUGUUUCAGGAUCUGGUUGCAGCGGGAAUUGACAACAUGAAGGGAGCUGUAGAGUGGGCGAUGGCAGAAGUGAUUCAGAACCCCCCUGUCAUGCAAAAAGCGCAGGAAGAAAUCCAAGACGCAAUCGGGACCGAGCGCCUCCUAAGGCCUUCAGAUGUCCCCGGCUUGCCUUACAUGCACGCAAUCCUGAAAGAGGUGUUGCGACUUCAUCCAACAGGCCCACUUGGAGUCCCUCAUUUUAAUCCCACGGAAGCUGUUCUAGCUGGCUACAGGAUUCCGAAAGGGUCCACCGUGCUCAUCAACAUCUGGGCAAUUGGACGAGAUCCAAAACACUGGCUUGACCCAGAAGACUUCCGUCCUGAACGCUUUCAAGGAACCGAGAUCAAGGUGGUCGGACAAGAAGCGCAGCUGGAGAUGAUCCCAUUCUCUGCUGGACGCAGGAUGUGCCCGGGGCAUCCAGUUGCCGUUCGUUUCAUCCCCUUUGCAGUUGCCAGCCUGAUUCAUGCCUUUGAUUGGAGCCUUCCACCGGAUCAAAACUCGGUCGACCUGAUGGAGAAGGGUGGUACAAUCGCAAGCAAGCUGGCUUCAGAGCUAACAGCUGUUGCAAGUCCCCGGUUGAGCUGCAAAUCUCUGUAUGAACGAGGAAUUCAACUGCCCCAAUCUUUGACUUUGAUUGCGAAUGCCAAUCGUUUUCCGGAGCCACUGGCACCAAUAUUCCUUUGGUUCUGGGAUUUGAACCAAUCUAAUCUAUGGUACCUUCCUGGUGGAAGCCGAUCGUGUUUAGCUUGCGAUUUUCCGAAGAAUGAGGCGGCGAUAAUUAGAAGCAGAAGAACAAGAACAGCCAGCCACAUUUUUGGAAUUAAUCCAAUGGAAGAUGUGAAAAACCCAAGUUCAACAUCCUUGCAGGAGGAUACGACGUAUGGCUACACCAGUUUCCUGGGCCAUACGACCACACGUUCCACGAAGGUCAUGAUCAAGUUGGCCGAUUAACUACAACCACUGUUCUCGUAUAUGCGCAGAGCCAGAUGUCGAACGAUCGGCCCUCUCACGCUUACGACCACAUGCGAAGUCCACAAUAUGAUCCGGUCAGUGAUCCCAAUCCAAGGAGCAAUGGCAUGCACCAUGACCUGAGACUACUUGAAAAUAAUGAGGAAGAAGAUAUCGUUCCUGAGCGUUGUUCUACAGAUUAGUCUCGCUAAAAUUUCCAAGCUCUUUUCCUUGCCACCUUUAACAUUUGGAAUCUCUCGCAUUAACUUGUCUAACAUCAAUUCUCUCUAUGUGGAGCUACUUUUCAAUGGCAACAAUUCACAACACGGGUUGAUGAAAUAACUGGACGAUUGAGCUCUUCAAGAACUGAGGUUAGUCUUCGACAGGAUCAAGCUCCACCCAGGCCAUUCAUGCCAAUGGAUGAUUUCAGUGGUUUUGCGGGCCAGCCAGUGACAUGUGGAAAGAGUUUGCACCAUGCACGCCAGCUAGCUCGCGGAUUUGCAGCUCGUAUAGGAGGACUGGAACCUGCUAGUUUUCUAGUUAAAUGACAUACUCUGUUUUCCCCUAACUACCACUUUGUCAUUUUCUCCAUGUACAUAUAUACAAGUCUUGUGUCCGCUCAUUUCAGCGUCCACAUGAAUCUCUUGCCACCUUGGAUUAGACUCCAG
This is an RNA transcript of Selaginella moellendorffii, 2477 nucleotides long. It is a transcript of the gene named cytochrome P450 98A1-like, with no coding region annotated. The transcript has 2 exons. NCBI's taxonomy places the organism in Eukaryota, Viridiplantae, Streptophyta, Lycopodiopsida, Selaginellales, Selaginellaceae. The record is from RefSeq and is a predicted model, not a curated record.